AGGACGAACGCUGGCGGCGUGCUUAACACAUGCAAGUCGAACGGUGAUCCUCGGGGCUUGCUUCGGGGUGAUCAGUGGCGAACGGGUUAGUAACACGUGAGUAACCUGCCCCAGACUCUGGGAUAACUUCGGGAAACCGUAGCUAAUACCGGAUAUGACACGGAGACGCAUGUCUAUCGUGUGGAAAGUUCUUCGGUCUGGGAUGGACUCGCGGCCUAUCAGCUUGUUGGUGAGGUAAUGGCUCACCAAGGCGACGACGGGUA
Molecule: ribosomal RNA, 263 nt
Filed under: uncultured bacterium
Lineage: Bacteria
Description: partial small subunit ribosomal RNA
Rfam family: Bacterial small subunit ribosomal RNA
Source: RNAcentral